Molecule: ribosomal RNA, 425 nt
Filed under: uncultured bacterium
Lineage: Bacteria
Description: bacterial SSU rRNA
Rfam family: Bacterial small subunit ribosomal RNA
Source: RNAcentral
GUUAGGAAUUUUGCACAAUGGGCGAAAGCCUGAUGCAGCAACGCCGCGUGGACGAUGAAGGCCUUCGGGUCGUAAAGUCCUUUUCAGAGGGAAGAUACGGACGGUACCUCUGGAAUAAGCCUCGGCUAACUACGUGCCAGCAGCCGCGGUAAUACGUAGGAGGCAAGCGUUAUCCGGAUUUACUGGGCGUAAAGAGCGCGUAGGUGGUCCCGUAAGUUGGACGUGAAAGCCCCCGGCUUAACUGGGGAGGGUCGUUCAAUACUGCGGGACUUGAGGGUGGAGGAAGAGACUGGAAUUCCCGGUGUAGUGGUGAAAUGCGUAGAUAUCGGGAGGAACACCUGUGGCGUAGGCGAGUCUCUAGGCCAUUCCUGACACUGAGGCGCGAAAGCGUGGGGAGCGAACGGAAUUAGAAACCCUUGUAGUCC